UCAACCCCAAAAAUAGAUAGUGUAUUAAUUCAUUUUUGCUAGUCUUCACUCUUUGGUAAUAUAAUCUGAUGUGAAUUUUUUGUUUUCUUAUAAAAAGGAAGUGCUUUGUUUUAAGUUUCCUUUCUCCAGUUUCCUUCUUCUUCUUCUUCAUAUAUACAUCUUUGAACUUUCAGUCCAAACUCCGGCGAAAAUUAGUCGAGUACUCGAAUUCCUUCAAAGGAUCCGACGAGUCGGUUUUGUUCGAGGUUCUGGUUUAAAAGAAGAUCGUAGGUUCUGACUUCUAGUCCAGUUUCCGGCGAGUUUAUCGACGCUGCAUUCCUUUGCACGAGUUUCUUCAUAUAAUUACAAAUCUGAAAUUGCUUCACUUAAGGAGUAUUGAAAAAUAAGCCAAAAUGAUGAAAUUUGACUCAAGAAGGAGUAUUGUUGGACAAGGACUAAAACCAAGCAAAAAGGACAAAAUGCGGACCACAGAAUUCUGCCGCGGCAGCAGAUCACGAAGAACCUCUGUCAGAAAAACUUUACAAAGUGCGGACCGCACAAUAAUUAUGCGGCCACAGAUGUUGAAGAUCAGAGAGUUCCCAGUCUUAGUCCAUCAAGAAGUGCGGACUGCACUAUAAUUGUGCGGUCGCAGAACUUAAGAGUGCGGCCACACUCAGAAAUGUGGGGUCCGCAGAAUUGAAGAAGUGCAGCCGCAAUGCAGAAUUGUGCGGCUGCAGAAGUCCCUCCUAUCAAGACCUGCAUCAAAGUGCGGACCGCACACUGAAUUGUGCUGCUGCAGAAGUCCCUCCUGUCAAGACCUGCAUCAAAGUGCGGACCGCACACUAAAUUGUGUGGCCGCAGAACCUCAGAAAAGGCAAUUUUGUCCAAAAAUUUCAGCUGUGCAUAAAUAGUCUUUUUUGACGAAUUUAGGUUAAGUUUGAACUUCAGAAAAUAGAUUGUCGUUUUUA
Long non-coding RNA from Nicotiana attenuata, 947 nucleotides. RefSeq lists it as uncharacterized. The record is from RefSeq and is a predicted model, not a curated record. The transcript is spliced from 2 exons. Lineage: Eukaryota; Viridiplantae; Streptophyta; Magnoliopsida; Solanales; Solanaceae.